RNAcentral lists this long non-coding RNA (281 nucleotides) under Fukomys damarensis (Damara mole-rat). RNAcentral's name for it is "lncRNA (ENSFDAG00000025399.1)". Lineage: Eukaryota; Metazoa; Chordata; Mammalia; Rodentia; Bathyergidae. The record is from RNAcentral.
GUUACUGUGCUUAUGAAGGAGGCACACUACCGAUUAGGAGGAGGAAUGUACUGACUGCUCCAUGAUCCCGACAGGCUGCAGAAGACUAGAUCUUCCCUGUGUUUGUUUGGGGGCGCAGCCAAGAGACGCAAGAGAGAGGGAAGAAAACCUCUGUAGAACCUUGCUCUGUUCACGGCUGCGAAAGGACUGUAAAGGUGACGAUCGCACGGGGACAGUGGGCGGGACGAGGAGACCCGCGGGGUCCGGCCGAGCCGCAGAGCCCCUGAGGGGACUGAUCGGCG